RNAcentral lists this ribosomal RNA (1540 nucleotides) under Enterococcus hirae. RNAcentral's name for it is "bacterial SSU rRNA". The record is from RNAcentral. Lineage: Bacteria; Bacillati; Bacillota; Bacilli; Lactobacillales; Enterococcaceae.
AGAGUUUGAUCCUGGCUCAGGACGAACGCUGGCGGCGUGCCUAAUACAUGCAAGUCGAACGCUUCUUUUUCCMCCGGAGCUUGCUCCACCGGAAAAAGAGGAGUGGCGAACGGGUGAGUAACACGUGGGUAACCUGCCCAUCAGAAGGGGAUAACACUUGGAAACAGGUGCUAAUACCGUAUAACAAUCGAAACCGCAUGGUUUUGAUUUGAAAGGCGCUUUCGGGUGUCGCUGAUGGAUGGACCCGCGGUGCAUUAGCUAGUUGGUGAGGUAACGGCUCACCAAGGCGACGAUGCAUAGCCGACCUGAGAGGGUGAUCGGCCACAUUGGGACUGAGACACGGCCCAAACUCCUACGGGAGGCAGCAGUAGGGAAUCUUCGGCAAUGGACGAAAGUCUGACCGAGCAACGCCGCGKGAGUGAAGAAGGKUUUCGGAUCGUAAAACUCUGUUGUUAGAGAAGAACAAGGAUGAGAGUAACUGUUCAUCCCUUGACGGUAUCUAACCAGAAAGCCACGGCUAACUACGUGCCAGCAGCCGCGGUAAUACGUAGGUGGCAAGCGUUGUCCGGAUUUAUUGGGCGUAAAGCGAGCGCAGGCGGUUUCUUAAGUCUGAUGKGAAAGCCCCCGGCUCAACCGGGGAGGGUCAUUGGAAACUGGGAGACUUGAGKGCAGAAGAGGAGAGUGGAAUUCCAUGUGUAGCGGUGAAAUGCGUAGAUAUAUGGAGGAACACCAGUGGCGAAGGCGGCUCUCUGGUCUGUAACUGACGCUGAGGCUCGAAAGCGKGGGGAGCAAACAGGAUUAGAUACCCUGGKAGUCCACGCCGUAAACGAUGAGUGCUAAGKGUUGGAGGGUUUCCGCCCUUCAGUGCUGCAGCUAACGCAUUAAGCACUCCGCCUGGGGAGUACGACCGCAAGGUUGAAACUCAAAGGAAUUGACGGGGGCCCGCACAAGCGGUGGAGCAUGUGGUUUAAUUCGAAGCAACGCGAAGAACCUUACCAGGUCUUGACAUCCUUUGACCACUCUAGAGAUAGAGCUUCCCCUUCGGGGGCAAAGUGACAGGUGGUGCAUGGUUGUCGUCAGCUCGUGUCGUGAGAUGUUGGGUUAAGUCCCGCAACGAGCGCAACCCUUAUUGUUAGUUGCCAUCAUUUAGUUGGGCACUCUAGCAAGACUGCCGGUGACAAACCGGAGGAAGGKGGGGAUGACGUCAAAUCAUCAUGCCCCUUAUGACCUGGGCUACACACGUGCUACAAUGGGAAGUACAACGAGUCGCAAAGUCGCGAGGCUAAGCUAAUCUCUUAAAGCUUCUCUCAGUUCGGAUUGUAGGCUGCAACUCGCCUACAUGAAGCCGGAAUCGCUAGUAAUCGCGGAUCAGCACGCCGCGGUGAAUACGUUCCMGGGCCUUGUACACACCGCCCGUCACMCCACGAGAGUUUGUAACMCCCGAAGUCGGUGAGGUAACCUUUUGGAGCCAGCCGCCUAAGGUGGGAUAGAUGAUUGGGGUGAAGUCGUAACAAGGUAGCCGUAUCGGAAGGUGCGGCUG